RNAcentral lists this ribosomal RNA (232 nucleotides) under uncultured bacterium. Its description in RNAcentral is "partial 16S ribosomal RNA". It matches the Rfam family "Bacterial small subunit ribosomal RNA", at positions 118 to 348 of the family's 1533-position model. The record is from RNAcentral.
UGAGGAACAUGACCUUCGGCGGGGGAUAGCCGGCCCAACGGCCGGGUAAUACCGCGUACGACCACAUGGGGACAUCCCUGAGUGGUGAAAGCAGCAAUACGCCGAUGGAGUGCCUCGCGGCCUAUCAGCUAGUUGGUGAGGUAACGGCUCACCAAGGCAACGGACGGGUAGCCGGUCUGAGAGGAUGAUCAGCCACACUGGAACUGAGACACGGUCCAGACUCCGUAGGAGG